This 216-nucleotide long non-coding RNA is filed under the name Mytilus galloprovincialis (Mediterranean mussel). The record is from RNAcentral. Lineage: Eukaryota; Metazoa; Mollusca; Bivalvia; Mytilida; Mytilidae.
CAAUAACUUAGAGGUAGAUACAUGUAGUUAUUAACAUCGACUAAAACAACAAGCAUAUAUAUAUAUAAACCAACAUAUAACAGUAUCAAAUCAUUAAACCUAGGUGGUGAUGUGGAUAAGGAAAGAAAUGUACAUAAAAAUAAUUCCGGUACAUGAUGUACCAAUUUUUUGAUAAUCAACCUAGUCUUCUAAAAUUGGAAGCCAGGGGUCCCAGCA